This 354-nucleotide ribosomal RNA is filed under the name uncultured Bacteroidota bacterium. RNAcentral's name for it is "bacterial SSU rRNA". It matches the Rfam family "Bacterial small subunit ribosomal RNA", at positions 451 to 803 of the family's 1533-position model. The record is from RNAcentral. Lineage: Bacteria; Pseudomonadati; Bacteroidota.
CCUUAGUAUGUAUACUAAGCUGAAUGUACUGUAAGAAUAAGGAUCGGCUAACUCCGUGCCAGCAGCCGCGGUAAUACGGAGGAUCCAAGCGUUAUCCGGAUUUAUUGGGUUUAAAGGGUGCGUAGGUGGCUUUUUAAGUCAGGGGUGAAAGACGGUAGCUUAACUAUCGCAGUGCCCUUGAUACUGAAGAGCUUGAAUGAACUAGAGGUAGGCGGAAUGUGACAAGUAGCGGUGAAAUGCAUAGAUAUGUCACAGAACACCAAUUGCGAAGGCAGCUUACUAUGGUUAAAUUGACACUGAGGCACGAAAGCGUGGGGAUCAAACAGGAUUAGAUACCCUGGUAGUCCACGCCCU